This 464-nucleotide ribosomal RNA is filed under the name Vreelandella stevensii. Its description in RNAcentral is "partial 16S ribosomal RNA". It matches the Rfam family "Bacterial small subunit ribosomal RNA", at positions 339 to 795 of the family's 1533-position model. The record is from RNAcentral. Lineage: Bacteria; Pseudomonadati; Pseudomonadota; Gammaproteobacteria; Oceanospirillales; Halomonadaceae.
CUACGGGGGGCAGCAGUGGGGAAUAUUGGACAAUGGGCGAAAGCCUGAUCCAGCCAUGCCGCGUGGGUGAAGAAGGCCUUCGGGUUGUAAAGCACUUUCAGUGGGGAAGAAAGCCUUGGGGCUAAUACCCUCGAGGAAGGACAUCACCCACAGAAGAAGCACCGGCUAACUCCGUGCCAGCAGCCGCGGUAAUACGGAGGGUGCGAGCGUUAAUCGGAAUUACUGGGCGUAAAGCGCGCGUAGGCGGUCUGAUAAGCCGGUUGUGAAAGCCCCGGGCUCAACCUGGGAACGGCAUCCGGAACUGUCAGGCUAGAGUGCAGGAGAGGAAGGUAGAAUUCCCGGUGUAGCGGUGAAAUGCGUAGAGAUCGGGAGGAAUACCAGUGGCGAAGGCGGCCUUCUGGACUGACACUGACGCUGAGGUGCGAAAGCGUGGGUAGCAAACAGGAUUAGAUACCCCUGUAGUC